Long non-coding RNA from Daphnia magna, 1381 nucleotides. RefSeq lists it as uncharacterized. Lineage: Eukaryota; Metazoa; Arthropoda; Branchiopoda; Diplostraca; Daphniidae. The transcript is spliced from 3 exons. The record is from RefSeq and is a predicted model, not a curated record.
AUAUACUAUCCACAGUCAUAACGAGAAACACCUCACACACACACACAAAAUAAAAGGGAACAUAUUGUACAGCUUGUCCGUCUUCGUUUGGUCAUUACAUUUGAGGCGGGUGUUAGUGUCAGAUAGACACUUCCAUCAUCCAACAACUGGAGCAUGGCUUAGGUUAAUGGGCCCUAUAGUGAGCCGGACGGGCCUUAUUGGUGCAAACGACAAACACGAAAUGCUCCUCAACAAAUUCGUGGGCGGCCACGCAGAUUGUUGUUGUUUCGUUUGUUUUGAAUAACUUACAGCCCCAACGCUUGUCGUAUUUAAAUGUCCGUCUCCAUUUUCAAACGUCGUAUAAUGCGAACAAAACGUCAGCGAGAAUGGAGGCGUAUGUCUCUUGUUUCCCACUUGGUAGGUGGCCCUUUGUAUAUAUAUAAGAAACAAACGAAUGAAAUUAAGGGUUGAAAUCAUUGCUCGUUUCGGUUCGAUUACUCUGAUCGGAUUGGGAAUUUUUUCCGAUCUUAUUUUCAAGCGGGAGACAGGAUAUCAGACGCGGGCGACGACAUAAAAGAGUCGACGGGAUGAAAGCCGAUGAACCUUGGCAGAAUUCUUAUAUUUCCAUCCCCGGUGGUCUCGUCCUUCCGCCAUCAUCAUCGUCUCUUCUAUAUAUUCCAUCUCGAUUUCUUUUAUAUAUUUUUUUUCUAUUUCGAUUAUUCUAUAAUUUUUUUUUUGUCCCAUCGGAAUUCGUUGUACUGAUCUGCUUUUUUCUUGCGCUGAUCUACAAGACUGUGAUGGUAUUAGUUCCAAUGUCACGACGCCUCUCUCCUUGUUGUGUUCGCUCAAUCCAUCGUGACUUGUGCACGACAUCCAUCCAUUUUUCUUCGUAUUCCCUUGUGUGAAGUAUAAUCUAUUUUGUGCUGAAAGUUCUGAUGUUUUUAGGGGGUCCUAAAUUACGCAACGCCAUGUGACCCAUUUUUUGUUUUUUUUUAAAUUGACAAUUCUUGUUCUAAGGUUUCGGUAAUCUAUGCACCCGAGUGACAGUCGAUUUCCCAGUUAUUGAGGCACCAUCCGCUUGCGAUUUAUAGUUCAAAGAAAUUCAAAGUGGUUUCAAUCUAACGUCACUUUUUGAUUCCGUUUUAUAUACGAAAAUGGGCUUGGCUCCCAAUAUUUGAUUGGGAAUCAGCGUCUAAUUUUGGUUAUAGAAUGUUAUGUUUCAUUGAAAUCCAAGUUAAAAUUGUAAGCCCAAUGUUGUUUUGUGCAAAAAAAGUCGGACUUAUUUCAUUUGUUCUCUCAAAUCUAAUCUAUACGCAUUCAAAUGAAACGAGGAUCGUGAAAAUCGUUUGUAUUGUAUUCGAAUUCAAAGUUGUUGAAAUUAAAUAGUAAGUUAGAAAUUAAA